CUUUGGGGUAGUCUUUCCCCAGAUGAACACAACCUGGGGCAGCCCGGGGAUGUCUGAGCCACCAGCUCUGCCUUCUCCUUUCUGUGCCCUGGGGAAGCCGAGACUUAGGGUUAAUAGAGACGUAGCAGAGAGGUAAACACACCGGCUGAUAAAAUGGAAAAAUAUACAUCUAAGAAAAGGAUACGCAUAUGUAAGAGAUGUCCUCUGACAUGGUUGUGUGUGUGCAUCAGUGAUGCAGACAAAGUGGAAAAGAACGUCUACCACUCAGAGAACUUCUACCUGUCACCGUGGAGGGUGUCCGCCCGGUCAAAGCAAAAACAAAAACAGAUCUCUACCCCUUCUCAGGACCGAUGCAAAACUGACUUUUUCAGUGGAUAUGAUGACGUAUCUCACCCCCGCUCUUCGGCUGCGCAGAUACAGGAUGACCAGUUUUCUACUUUCUCAGAAAGUGGAGGAUAUUGUGAAGUGUUGAUAUCAAAGCCACCACCGCACAUCACUGCUCUUGGAACUGAGUCCUGUGAGGAAGAGAUUUCCUGUUCUCCAUUCAGAAGCGAAUCUGAAGACCAGGAAUCUUCACAGAGUCAAGAAUCAGAAGAUACUUGCUGGGAAGAGAAGACAGUAGUGCCCCACCUGGUUGCUAAACUCUGUUCUGGGACUGAACCGGUUUGUAAAAGUAAUCAGUUUCUCGGACCUGAAGGAAAUGUGGAUAUUGAGUUGAUUGAUAAGAGUGCAAACAGAUACAGUGUCCACUUCCCCGUGGCCGGCUUCUAUCUGUGGCCAGCAACAGGCCUUGGCUUCCUGGUAACAGCAGCAGUGACCGUGACGAUUACGUUCGAUUCUUGGGGUCGGCACCUGGACCUGAAGUUACAGCAUCACGAGAAGUGGAUGGUGGCCGGCCCUUUAUUUGACAUCUCUGUGGAGCCUGAGGGGGUCAUCACUGAAAUCCACCUCCCCCACGUCAUCUCCCUCCCAGCAAAUGAGGUCGAUAUAUCUUGGUUCCAAGUUGCCCAUUUUAAGGAUGAAGGGAUGGUCCUGGAGCCACCAGCCCGAGUGGAGCCUUUCUAUGCCAUCCUGGAAAACCCUAGCUUCUCUCUGUUGGGGAUCCUGCUGAGACUUGCCAGAGGGACCUGCCUUUCGGUCCCCAUCACAUCCACGGCACUAAUCUAUUAUCACUUCCACCCCGAAGAUGUGAAAUUUCACUUGUAUCUUAUCCCCAGCGACUCCUUGCUAAAGAAGGCAAUAGAUGAGGAGGAAGCUAAAUUUCAAGGUGUGCGUCUGCAGACCUCGCCCCCAGUGGACCCACUGAAUUUUGGUUCCCGUUAUAUUGUGUCUUGUUCGCCUCCCCUGGAAAUAAUACCCAAGGAGUUGAAAUUAUCCUACAGGAACCCUGGAGAAAUCCAGGUCUUCUCUAAAGUCUAUGCUGGGAGGAUGAAGGAACCAAUCAUGCUUGAAAUUACUGAAAAAAGAUACAAGACUUUGAUCUGGUACACUUUGGUGAAGCCAGAGGAGCUCCAGUUUGGUGCUACAUCGGCCCCUCCUCCCCUCCCAGGUCAGUGCAGUGUUUCCACCAAAAGUCUGAUUUCAGGAGAUCUUUGAGUGAUGUCGCUCAAUGUGCGUUCAUACCUUCUCUUCAUUUACAAAGACUAAGUGGUUCCAGAGACAAACACAGAGUCUGAUGCACUUCAGCAAACACAUGAGGCUGUAAUACGCAGACUCUGAGCGUGCAACCACGCUUUUUUGGGAAACCAUUUUGCAUCUGCUGAACUUUAAGUAAGAGUAGUUCGAGGCGGCUGGGGAUCAAACUUUAGAGAGACGGAGCCCACGUGAGACCAGAGGGCCAGGCAAGAAACAGAACUUGUAAGCAUAAGGAUGAUCGUUGAACUCUUUUGGAGCUUAGUCCGAAGGCAAAGGGGGACUUUUGAAGGGUGAGUAACAAGGCACUCACUCUUCGGAACUGUGUGGAUGACUGCGAGUGAGGAAUGAACAGGAAGUGGGAAUUGGCUUAUGAGGCUGUUGUAAAUGUCAAGAUCAGGUGUUAGCUGGGAAUUGGUUCAGGUUAAUGGAGAUGGUAGGUAGCGGGGAAAGAAAUUAUUUAAAAUAAAAUGCCAAAGGGCACCUGGCUGGCUCAGUCGGAGGAGAGUGGGACUCGAUCGCACUAAACUUUUAAAAAGAAAAUAAAGAAAAUAAAAUAAGGAGCCAAGAUUCAGAGGACUCCAUUCUGCCUUCCACGUUGUUGGCCAUGAUUGUCAGGCUCCACACAGUAGAAGUGACGGGCCCCCUUUGUCAAAACAGAUCAUCCAGGAGGAGAAGGAGAGCAUUUUCUGGUGUCUCUCAGGGAGGAGAAGGCUCCUCGGGUAUCGCGUUGGCUUGACAUGGCAACAGACCCAUCCUGGCCGGCGGGUGUUGUCAGGAGGUCCAGAGAGGCAGACUAGCUGGAGAAAAUCAGGCCCCACACCUGGAGUUGCAAUUGGGUUCAAACUCAGCUACAGAUCUUGGUGAAGAAUCAGCUGUGGCCUUUAUGAAGGAGCACCAUCGUCAUCUUCAAGCCAGGAUGGGGAACCUGAAUGGAGUCCUGGAUGA
Molecule: RNA transcript, 2580 nt
Organism: Lynx canadensis (Canada lynx)
Lineage: Eukaryota; Metazoa; Chordata; Mammalia; Carnivora; Felidae
Gene: CARD8
Gene name: caspase recruitment domain family member 8
Exons: 12
Source: RefSeq, a predicted model, not a curated record